This 349-nucleotide ribosomal RNA is filed under the name uncultured bacterium. RNAcentral's name for it is "bacterial SSU rRNA". It matches the Rfam family "Bacterial small subunit ribosomal RNA", at positions 32 to 352 of the family's 1533-position model. The record is from RNAcentral.
AAUCAACGCUGGCGGCGUGCCUCAGACAUGCAAGUCGAACGUGAAAGUUCCUUCGGGAAUGAGUAAAGUGGCGCACGGGUGAGUAACACGUGGGUAAUUUGCCUUCGGGUGGGAAUACCAACCGGGAAACGGUUGUUAAUACCGCAUGAUGCAGCGGCUCGACAUCGGAGAACAGUUGUUAAAGCGGGGGAGCGGAGCAAUCCCGUCCUCGCGCCUGAAGAGAAGCCCGGCGGCGGAUUAGGAGUUGGUGAGGUAAUGGCGUCACCAAGCCCGCGAUCCGUAACCGACCUGAGAGGGUGGUCGGUCACACUGACACUGACAUACGGGUCAGACUCCUACGGGAGGCAGC